CCUACGGGAGGCAGCAGUGAGGAAUAUUGGGCAAUGGGCGCGAGCCUGAACCAGCCAAGUAGCGUGAAGGAUGACUGCCCUAUGGGUUGUAAACUUCUUUUAUAGGGGAAUAAAGUGCAGUAUGUAUACAGCUUUGCAUGUACCGUAUGAAUAAGGAUCGGAUAACGCCGUGCCAGCAGCCGCGGUAAUACGGAGGAUCCGAGCGUUAUCCGGAUUUAUUGGGUUUAAAGGGAGCGUAGGCGGGUUGUUAAGUCAGUUGUGAAAGUUUGCGGCUCCACCGUAAAAUUGCAGUUGAUACUGGCAUCCUUGAGUACAGUAGAGGUAGGCGGACUUC
RNAcentral lists this ribosomal RNA (334 nucleotides) under uncultured bacterium. RNAcentral's name for it is "partial 16S ribosomal RNA". It matches the Rfam family "Bacterial small subunit ribosomal RNA", at positions 338 to 669 of the family's 1533-position model. The record is from RNAcentral.